CGCGGGGUGGAGCAGCCAGGUAGCUCGUCAGGCUCAUAACCUGAAGGUCCUCAGUUCAAAUCUGAGCCCCGUAACCA
Molecule: transfer RNA, 77 nt
Filed under: Roseibacillus ishigakijimensis
Lineage: Bacteria; Pseudomonadati; Verrucomicrobiota; Verrucomicrobiia; Verrucomicrobiales; Verrucomicrobiaceae
Also listed under: 3 other names
Description: tRNA-Met
Rfam family: tRNA
About the family: Transfer RNA (tRNA) molecules are approximately 80 nucleotides in length. Their secondary structure includes four short double-helical elements and three loops (D, anti-codon, and T loops).
Source: RNAcentral